Non-coding RNA from Delphinapterus leucas (beluga whale), 997 nucleotides. The record is from RefSeq and is a predicted model, not a curated record. NCBI's taxonomy places the organism in Eukaryota, Metazoa, Chordata, Mammalia, Artiodactyla, Monodontidae.
AUGUGAAAGUGGAAAACAUUGCACAACAAAAAGCCCCCGGAAAGCUGUGACACACCCAUCCCCUCGGCCUGGACGCCAGGCUACUCCCAGAUAAAAGCGGCUCGGCUCUCCUGCUGCCCGACCGACUGUAGAGGGGCCAGGCCCCUCUUCCCGCUUCCCAGAAGUUCUCCUUUUGGGAAUCACCCAAAGCAGUUUGACUCGUGGCUGACGGCUUCUCUUCCCUUGAAUGAGAACGUUCACCAGUUACACAGUGUCUCCGAACCAGUAUAAGCCAGUAUAAACGACUUUCUUUGCAGGGGCCUCUGCCGGAUGAGUCAAAGACCAAAAAGUCUACAGAAUCAGGUGUCGAUGACCUCAGCAAGAGUGUUUUCGGUCCCACCAUGACAAAUGCUUAUCUGGGGGAAACUAAGUUCCUGUACUGCAGGAUAGUCAAGUGGUGCAGCAACAGGAACCCGGUGCACUAACACGAAACUCAGCUUUGUUCUUCCGAGGCCUGGGGAAUAAACGCACCUGCUCAGGAUGCCAGAGAUGCCAUAAGCCAAGGUGUGAGAGUAAUUUGCUUUCGAAAAAGAACAUGUCCGACAGAAGAGAAGGCAGACCCUGAAAGAACACAUCUCAGCCAGAUCUUUCACAAGGGAAGAGGGCCGUGUGACGAUGAGGGCAGAGUCUGGGUGAUGCAUGUACAGGUCAAGGAACACCAAAGUUUGCCAGCCAACCACCAGAAGCUAGGAGAGCAGCCUGGGACAGACUCCCCCUCACAGCCCUCCAAAGGAACCGACCCUACCAACAUCUUAAUCUUGGAUUUCUUGAGAACAGUGACACAGUAAAUUGCUGUUAAGCCACCCAGUUUGUGGUACCUUGUUGUGAUGAUCCCAGGAAACUAAUACAAAUGCCUUCAGAUGCCGGGCAAGCAUCUGACAUGAGUGAAGUGGGUGAGGCUCGCAGGCUUCCACGGGGAGGGCUGUGCCCGCGAAUUCCCCUGAAAGGGAUGUGUCCC